This 849-nucleotide ribosomal RNA is filed under the name Psychroflexus sp. LCA4. RNAcentral's name for it is "bacterial SSU rRNA". It matches the Rfam family "Bacterial small subunit ribosomal RNA", at positions 41 to 887 of the family's 1533-position model. The record is from RNAcentral. Lineage: Bacteria; Pseudomonadati; Bacteroidota; Flavobacteriia; Flavobacteriales; Flavobacteriaceae.
GGGAUCGCAGCUACAUGCAGUCGAGGGGUACAGGGUGCUUGCACCGCUGACGACCGGCGCACGGGUGCGUAACGCGUAUACAAUCUACCUUAUAGAGGAGAAUAGCCCAGAGAAAUUUGGAUUAAUGCUCCAUGGUAUUAUUGAGUAGCAUUACUUAAUAAUUAAACAUUUAUGGCUAUAAGAUGAGUAUGCGUUCUAUUAGCUAGAUGGUAAGGUAACGGCUUACCAUGGCUACGAUAGAUAGGGGUCCUGAGAGGGAGAUCCCCCACACUGGUACUGAGACACGGACCAGACUCCUACGGGAGGCAGCAGUGAGGAAUAUUGGACAAUGGGAGCAAUCCUGAUCCAGCCAUGCCGCGUGCAGGAAGACUGCCCUAUGGGUUGUAAACUGCUUUUAUACAGGAAGAAAAAGGUGUACGUGUACACUGUUGACGGUACUGUAAGAAUAAGGAUCGGCUAACUCCGUGCCAGCAGCCGCGGUAAUACGGAGGAUCCAAGCGUUAUCCGGAAUCAUUGGGUUUAAAGGGUCCGUAGGCGGGAUAAUAAGUCAGUGGUGAAAGUUUGCGGCUCAACCGUAAAAUUGCCAUUGAUACUGUUGUUCUUGAGUUAUUGUGAAGUGGUUAGAAUGAGUAGUGUAGCGGUGAAAUGCAUAGAUAUUACUCAGAAUACCGAUUGCGAAGGCAGAUCACUAACAAUACACUGACGCUGAUGGACGAAAGCGUANGUAGCGAACAGGAUUAGAUACCCUGGUAGUCUACGCCGUAAACGAUGGUUACUAGCUGUUCGGACUAAUUGANGUCUGAGUGGCUAAACGAAAGUGAUAAGUAACCCACCUGGGGGAGUACGUUC